GACGGCUCCCAGCGAGGUUCUAUUAAAUGUGAACAUGUUUGCGUCAAGGCUUUGUUGAUGGUUGAAGAAGAAAUCAAGGUCGCCAAAACUCGGGUGCUGCUGAAUUGCUAGAUUACUCCACUGCAAAAAACGCUGGACAGUGGCAAGAAGGAAGAGCUCGGGCCACCCGCGAUGCCAGGCCGCCGGCCCUCCUCCCUCAAGCUCAAGGCGGCGAAGAGAUGGUUGAGAUGGUGUUGCAGCUCCGCAGAUAUCAUACCCAUUCUGCAUAGAUCAUGCUUGAUGUACAAUGAUCUUUGAUAACACCAAAUUAUACAGGUUGGAGAGGAAACUGAAAGUGCAUCUGCCGAGGAUCCAAAGAACAUGCUUCCUGACCCCUCUAAGACCAAAAGAACAGGCAAUGCCGCCAAGGGAGUUGGCGCACCAAAGAAAGCGAGGCAGUAGUUCUUCCAUGGAGCACUUCUUCCAUGCCGUUAUCUAGAUAUGUACAUACGGUAUCUUCUAUAUUCUGCUUGCUUAUCAAGCGAAGUCUACGCUGGAAGGGUAUCAUGCUGACCAUUUAAUUGAAUUUCUCUUACAGAAACCAAUAUUAAUUUAUUCAGAGAACAUCCUUAUUUUUAUUUGUGAGAUAAUUAAAAAAGAUGUUUAUCUUUCCGAGCGACAUCGGACAUCCUAUAAUUUUGAGCACCGCCUCGAAGCAACCAGAAAUAGUUUCUGGUAGACUUUGGUCAAUGUAUCCUGGCCUGCAUGCUUUGGUUGUUACGAAAACAG
Triticum aestivum (bread wheat) is the source of this 768-nucleotide long non-coding RNA. RefSeq lists it as uncharacterized. The transcript is spliced from 6 exons. Lineage: Eukaryota; Viridiplantae; Streptophyta; Magnoliopsida; Poales; Poaceae. The record is from RefSeq and is a predicted model, not a curated record.